UUUAAAGAAAGCGUAAUAGCUCACUGGUCGAGUCGGCCUGCGCGGAAGAUGUAACGGGGCUAAACCAUGCACCGAAGCUGCGGCAGCGACGUUUAGGCGUUGUUGGGUAGGGGAGCGUUCUGUAAGCCGUUGAAGGUGGCCUGUGAGGGUUGCUGGAGGUAUCAGAAGUGCGAAUGCUGACAUAAGUAACGAUAAAGCGGGUGAAAAGCCCGCUCGCCGGAAGACCAAGGGUUCCUGUCCAACGUUAAUCGGGGCAGGGUGAGUCGACCCCUAAGGCGAGGCUGAAAAGCGUAGUCGAUGGGAAACAGGUUAAUAUUCCUGUACUUGGUGUUACUGCGAAGGGGGGACGGAGAAGGCUAGGCUAGCCGGGCGACGGUUGUCCCGGUUUAAGCGUGUAGGGGGUGUGACCUGGUAAAUCCGGUUGCAUAUCAACCCUGAGGCGUGAUGACGAUGCACUACGGUGCAGAAGUAGUUGAUGCCCUGCUUCCAGGAAAAGCCUCUAAGCUCUAGGUAACAUUAAAUCGUACCCCAAACCGACACAGGUGGUCAGGUAGAGAAUACCAAGGCGCUUGAGAGAACUCGGGUGAAGGAACUAGGCAAAAUGGUGCCG
This 610-nucleotide ribosomal RNA is filed under the name Serratia nevei. RNAcentral describes it as "partial 23S ribosomal RNA". It matches the Rfam family "Bacterial large subunit ribosomal RNA", at positions 1122 to 1730 of the family's 2925-position model. Lineage: Bacteria; Pseudomonadati; Pseudomonadota; Gammaproteobacteria; Enterobacterales; Yersiniaceae. The record is from RNAcentral.